Molecule: ribosomal RNA, 506 nt
Filed under: uncultured bacterium
Lineage: Bacteria
Description: partial 16S ribosomal RNA
Rfam family: Bacterial small subunit ribosomal RNA
Source: RNAcentral
GAUGAACGCUAGCUACAGGCUUAACACAUGCAAGUCGAGGGGUAACGAGAGGAAAGCUUGCUUUCCUUGUCGACGACCGGCGCACGGGUGAGUAACGCGUAUCCAACCUGCCCCCAACUAGGGAAUAACCUUGCGAAAGUAAGACUAAUACCCUAUAAUUUCCUCAGAUGUCAUCUGACGAGGAAUAAAGAUUUAUCGGUUGUGGAUGGGGAUGCGUCUGAUUAGCUGGUUGGCGGGGUAACGGCCCACCAAGGCAACGAUCAGUAGGGGUUUUGAGAGGAAGGUCCCCCACAUUGGAACUGGGACACGGUCCAAACUCCUACGGGAGGCAGCAGUGAGGAAUAUUGGUCAAUGGGCGGAAGCCUGAACCAGCCAAGUAGGGUGCAGGAUGACGGCCCUAUGGGUUGUAAACUGCUUUUAUACAGGAAUAAAGUUAGCCACGUGUGGUUAUUUGUAGGUACUGUACGAAUAAGGACCGGCUAAUUCCGUGCCAGCCGCCGCCGUAA